RNAcentral lists this ribosomal RNA (385 nucleotides) under uncultured bacterium. Its description in RNAcentral is "bacterial SSU rRNA". It matches the Rfam family "Bacterial small subunit ribosomal RNA", at positions 28 to 408 of the family's 1533-position model. The record is from RNAcentral.
GACGAACGCUGGCGGCGUGCUUAACACAUGCAAGUCGAACGCUGAAGCCCGCUUGCGGGUGGGAUGAGUGGCGAACGGGUGAGUAACACGUGAGUAACCUGCCCUUCACUUUGGGAUAACCUUCGGAAACGGGGGCUAAUACUGGAUAUGACUCAUGGCCGCAUGGUUGUGGGUGGAAAGAUUCUUUUGGUGGGGGGAUGGGGCUCGCGGCCUAUCAGCUUGUUGGUGGGGUGAUGGCCUACCAAGGCGACGACGGGUAGCCGGCCUGAGAGGGCGACCGGCCACACUGGGACUGAGACACGGCCCAGACUCCUACGGGAGGCAGCAGUGGGGAAGUAUUGCACAAAUGGGCGGCAAGCCUGAUGCAGCGACGCCGCGUGGGGGA